This 519-nucleotide ribosomal RNA is filed under the name Jamides celeno. Its description in RNAcentral is "partial 16S ribosomal RNA". The record is from RNAcentral. Lineage: Eukaryota; Metazoa; Arthropoda; Insecta; Lepidoptera; Lycaenidae.
CAUGUCUUUUUGAAUUUAAUUUAAAGUCUAAUCUGCCCACUGAUUUAAAAUUAAAGGGCUGCAGUAAUUUGACUGUACAAAGGUAGCAUAAUCAUUAGUCUUUUAAUUGAAGACUUGUAUGAAAGAUUUGAUGAGAUAUAAACUGUCUCUUAUUUAUAAUUAAAAUUUAAUUUUUUAGUUAAAAAGCUAAAAUAAAUUUAAAAGACGAGAAGACCCUAUAGAGUUUUAUAAUUUAUAAAUUAAAAUAUUUAUAUAAAAUUUUAAUAUUAAAUUUUGUUAAUUAUUUUAUUGGGGUGAUAAAAAAAUUUAAAAAACUUUUUUUUAAAAAUUUUCAUAAAUAAAUGAAUAAAUGAUCUUGAAUAAUGAUUAAAAGAAAAAAUUACCUUAGGGAUAACAGCGUAAUAUUUUUUUUUAGUACAAAUAAAAAAAAAAGUUUGCGACCUCGAUGUUGGAUUAAGAUAAAAUUUAAAUGCAAAAGUUUAAAAUUUUGAUCUGUUCGAUCAUUAAAAUCUUACAUGA